This 75-nucleotide transfer RNA is filed under the name Acidobacteriota bacterium. Its description in RNAcentral is "Acidobacteria bacterium tRNA-His". It matches the Rfam family "tRNA". From Rfam's summary of the family: Transfer RNA (tRNA) molecules are approximately 80 nucleotides in length. Their secondary structure includes four short double-helical elements and three loops (D, anti-codon, and T loops). Lineage: Bacteria; Pseudomonadati; Acidobacteriota. RNAcentral also lists the same sequence under 2 other names. The record is from RNAcentral.
GUGGCCUUGGUGUAAUUGGUUAACACACUGCACUGUGAAUGCAGAGAUGACGGUUCGACUCCGCAGGUCACCCCA